CGUGAAGUUGGAAUUGCCAGUAAUCGCGGAUCAGCAUGCCGCGGGUGAAUACGUUCCCGGGCCUUGUACACACCGCCCGUCACACCAUGGGAGCCGGUAAUACCCGAAGUCAGUAGCCUAACCGCAAGGGGGGCGCUGCCGAAGGUAGGAUUGGCGACUGGGGUGAAGUCGUAACAAGGUAGC
Molecule: ribosomal RNA, 183 nt
Filed under: uncultured bacterium
Lineage: Bacteria
Description: partial 16S ribosomal RNA
Rfam family: Bacterial small subunit ribosomal RNA
Source: RNAcentral